This 1086-nucleotide ribosomal RNA is filed under the name Metarhizium anisopliae. RNAcentral's name for it is "eukaryotic LSU rRNA". It matches the Rfam family "Eukaryotic large subunit ribosomal RNA", at positions 1 to 1107 of the family's 3401-position model. The record is from RNAcentral. Lineage: Eukaryota; Fungi; Ascomycota; Sordariomycetes; Hypocreales; Clavicipitaceae.
UUGACCUCGAAUCAGGUAGGACUACCCGCUGAACUUAAGCAUAUCAAUAAGCGGAGGAAAAGAAACCAACAGGGAUUGCCCCAGUAACGGCGAGUGAAGCGGCAACAGCUCAAAUUUGAAAUCUGGUCCCCAGGGCCCGAGUUGUAAUUUGCAGAGGAUGCUUUUGGUGAGGUGCCUUCCGAGUUCCCUGGAACGGGACGCCAUAGAGGGUGAGAGCCCCGUCUGGUUGGAUACCGAGCCUCUGUAAAGCUCCUUCGACGAGUCGAGUAGUUUGGGAAUGCUGCUCUAAAUGGGAAGGUAUAUGUCUUCUAAAGCUAAAUAUUGGCCAGAGACCGAUAGCGCACAAGUAGAGUGAUCGAAAGAUGAAAAGCACUUUGAAAAGAGGGUUAAAUAGUACGUGAAAUUGUUGAAAGGGAAGCACUUAUGACCAGACUUGGCCCCGGUGAAUCAUCCAGCGGUUCCCGCUGGUGCACUUUGCCGGGGUUCAGGCCAGCAUCAGUUCGCUCCGGGGGAUAAAGGCUUUGGGAAUGUGGCUCCCUCGGGAGUGUUAUAGCCCAUUGCGCAAUACCCUGUGGCGGGCUGAGGUUCGCGCUUUAUGCAAGGAUGCUGGCAUAAUGGUCAUCAGUGACCCGUCUUGAAACACGGACCAAGGAGUCGUCUUCGUAUGCGAGUGUUCGGGUGUUAAACCCCUACGCGUAAUGAAAGUGAACGCAGGUGAGAGCCCUCCAGGGCGCAUCAUCGACCGAUCCUGAUGUUCUCGGAUGGAUUUGAGUAAGAGCAUACGGGGCCGGACCCGAAAGAAGGUGAACUAUGCCUGUAUAGGGUGAAGCCAGAGGAAACUCUGGUGGAGGCUCGCAGCGGUUCUGACGUGCAAAUCGAUCGUCAAAUAUGGGCAUGGGGGCGAAAGACUAAUCGAACCUUCUAGUAGCUGGUUUCCGCCGAAGUUUCCCUCAGGAUAGCAGUGUUGAUUUCUCAGUUUUAUGAGGUAAAGCGAAUGAUUAGGGACCCGGGGGCGGCUUAUAGCCUUCAUCCAUUCUCAAACUUUAAAUAUGUAAGAAGCCCUUGUUGCUUAGGUGAACGUGGGCA